GGGCGAUUAACUCAGCGGCUAGAGUGCUACCUUCACACGGUAGAAGUCGCCAGUUCAAAUCUGGCAUCGCCCA
Molecule: transfer RNA, 73 nt
Filed under: Geobacteraceae bacterium
Lineage: Bacteria; Pseudomonadati; Thermodesulfobacteriota; Desulfuromonadia; Geobacterales; Geobacteraceae
Description: tRNA-Val
Rfam family: tRNA
About the family: Transfer RNA (tRNA) molecules are approximately 80 nucleotides in length. Their secondary structure includes four short double-helical elements and three loops (D, anti-codon, and T loops).
Source: RNAcentral